This 478-nucleotide ribosomal RNA is filed under the name uncultured Clostridiaceae bacterium. RNAcentral's name for it is "partial 16S ribosomal RNA". Lineage: Bacteria; Bacillati; Bacillota; Clostridia; Eubacteriales; Clostridiaceae. The record is from RNAcentral.
CACGUAGUUAGCCGUGGCUUCCUCCUCAGGUACCGUCAUUAUCGUCCCUGAAGACAGAGCUUUACAAUCCGAAGACCUUCAUCACUCACGCGGCGUUGCUGCAUCAGGGUUUCCCCCAUUGUGCAAUAUUCCCCACUGCUGCCUCCCGUAGGAGUCUGGGCCGUGUCUCAGUCCCAAUGUGGCCGAUCACCCUCUCAGGUCGGCUACGCAUCGUCGCCUUGGUGAGCCGUUACCUCACCAACUAGCUAAUGCGCCGCGGACCCAUCUCAUAGCAGAUUGCUCCUUUAAUCAUUAAAUGAUGCCACUCAAUGAUAUUAUGCGGUAUUAAUCUCCCUUUCGGGAGGCUAUUCCCCCUCUAUGAGGCAGGUUGCCCACGUGUUACUCACCCGUCCGCCGCUAGAUUGUUCCCGAAGGAACUCUCUCGCUCGACUUGCAUGUGUUAAGCACGCCGCAGCGUUCAUCCUGAGCCAGGAUCAAA